UCUCAGCCCGUGUGGUGGGCUGCCCCACCAUGGCUCCCUGCGUUCUUGCCUCCUGGUCACUCGGCCUCGUGUGAUCCCCACACCCAUGCCUCCAGGGUGGAUGGACCUUGCGCCUGGGUUCCGACAUGUAGACUGACUUGUGAAAGCUGGUAUCUUGCCAGAUCGUUCAUGGAGAAAGUGGAUCUCAUCUGGCAAGAGCAUAAUCAUCUUCCCAACACCCCCUCUAGUGGUGGGCAAGGCUGGACAAGUGGCUGUCUUGGUUGGACCAGGUGCCUGGGAGGGGACUGGACGUGAAGCCCUCCAGAGGCCAUCGCAUGAUCGUGCACAGGAUCCAAGACUCGGUGGCUCCUGGUGUACUCAUUCCACAGUGCCUCUUAAUAGCAAGUGGACUCCUCCAAGGGCGAUGAGCAUCACAACUUUGGUUGACCUUGGUCUAGGUAAGCCUUGUCUUCCAUAGCAAGGUUUGAUGUCUGUCUUAUCAGCUUCUUUGCUGUGGUAUUGAUAUGGUUGUUUUGAAAAUAAUGGACUUUCCAGUAAUUUCUAUGAUGGUAAAUACUACUCACAGUUGCCACUUUAUACAAAAUACUGUAGGGUGUUUUACCCCAAACAGGGGUAGUCUCCUGAG
Molecule: long non-coding RNA, 625 nt
Filed under: Camelus dromedarius (Arabian camel)
Lineage: Eukaryota; Metazoa; Chordata; Mammalia; Artiodactyla; Camelidae
Description: lncRNA (ENSCDRG00005020684.1)
Source: RNAcentral